AUCUGUGGUCAUGCCACCCUGAAUGUGACAAUCUUGUCUGAUCUUGGAAGCUAAGCAGGGUUAAGCCUGGUCAGUACUUGGAUGGGAGACCCCCUGGGGAUAUUGGGUGCCGUAGGCC
Molecule: ribosomal RNA, 118 nt
Organism: Cercocebus atys (sooty mangabey)
Lineage: Eukaryota; Metazoa; Chordata; Mammalia; Primates; Cercopithecidae
Source: Ensembl